AGGGUUCUGGGGCGGGUGUGUUCGUUCCUGGAGUUAGGCGAGGCAGAAGGAGAGCCCGUAUAACAAAGAUCCAUCGAGACCGGUUUCGUGUUCUGCCCUUUUUUCCUUCUUCUCCAAGAAGCCCCGCCGUGCGUCGGGUGUGAAAACCGACACCCACCCACUUGUUAUUUUGUCAAACACAAGCUCUCAAAAUUAUAGGAAUCAUGCUCGUGGAGUUGAUCCCGCGAGUAGGACGCGCGACCAGAAAACUAUACCAACGCGAUUUUACAUUAGCUGGAGUGCAUGCACACCGCAUGAACGUGAAUACGUGGAGAUGCAAAUCAUUAAGUUAUUUCAAAGUCGUUAUAGAUUCAUUAUCAUUAUCGUGAAAAGCUAUAUAAAUUGAAAAGAAAA
RNAcentral lists this unclassified non-coding RNA (393 nucleotides) under Athalia rosae (coleseed sawfly). Its description in RNAcentral is "misc RNA ENSAEAG00005002933.1". The record is from RNAcentral. Lineage: Eukaryota; Metazoa; Arthropoda; Insecta; Hymenoptera; Athaliidae.